This 869-nucleotide long non-coding RNA is filed under the name Drosophila guanche. Lineage: Eukaryota; Metazoa; Arthropoda; Insecta; Diptera; Drosophilidae. The record is from RNAcentral.
AUUACAGCCUGUCUAAAAUCAAUUCUCCCAAAAAUAAUAACUAACUUUAUUUUAUUUUACCUAAAAUGAUCUUCCAUUCAGUCUCAGUGGAGGGGGAUUAAGAGGUACCACGCGGCAAGAACUACAUCCGUUUUCUGAUUUACUAAAGCUGGUACCGACGCAAGUGCACCAAACUAAGCAGAAACAAAAACCAACACAAUGAAAAGCAGCAUCUUCCGGCAGCUUUUAUCGAUAUAAAACUAAUAAAUAAAACAAGUGGUUCCGUGUAAUAAUUAAAAACCUGAAAGUAAUUUGUAAGGACACAAUUUAUGCAUUGGACAGAUGCAUUUAGUAAUGAGGUGACGACAUGCGAUGUGGUGGGGACCAUACCACUUCGUUCUCACUGCGCUCUCUUGGCACUCCUUGUUUGUACUUUUCAUGCAUAUUGACGGAUGGUAAUCUAAGGAGACUGCUCUCCUUUUCGUAAAGACGUCACCUUUUAAGUAAAUUCACCUUUUGCAAUGGUUGAUGACCGAACAUCAACUUAAUUAUUUCGUCCACCCCACCAGUGGCAACCGAUAUAUUCACUGUACUCCUGGUCUUGGGCAUGGUCUGCCUGCUGCUCAUCUUCUUCGGCAUAGAGUCUACAUAGAAGGAGGGAGCUGCUGCGUAACGAAGAAGCCUAACCAAAGCUCGUACAUAUUUUGAUUUUGUUGUUUAAAUUUUAAUUAUCGGCUUUUAUCAAGACUUGUUGCCUAUGCGUGUGAGCUCUGUCGUAUUUCUUAAGGACCGAAGUCAUGAGAUUUUUGGUUAAAAUUUUGUUGCACUUUUACUCCCCGUUCAAUCCCAUAUGCAUUCAACCUUAAAACGAUUCUUUAAGAUAAAUAAAU